GACGAACGCUGGCGGCGUGCUUAACACAUGCAAGUCGAACGGAAAGGCCCUGCUUUUGUGGUGUGCUCGAGUGGCGAACGGGUGAGUAACACGUGAGUAACGUGCCCUUGACUUUAGGAUAAUUUCAGGAAAGUGGGGCUACUACCAGAUAGGAGUUCCUGCUGCAUAGUGGGUGUUGAAAAGUUUCGGCGGGUGGGAAUAGACUCUCGGCUAAUCUGCUUGUUGGUGGGGUAGGGGCUUACCAAGGCUUUGACGGGUAGCAGGCCUGGGAGGGUGGCCGGCACCAUUGGGACUGAGAUAAGGCCCAGACUCCAACGGGAGGCAGCGGUGGGGAAUAUUGCACAAUGGGAGGGAGCCUGAUGCGGCACCGCCGCGUGCGGGAAGACGGCAUGCGGGUUGAGAACCGCAUUCGCCUGUGACGAAGCGUGAGUGACGGUAAUAGGUAAAGAAGCACCGGCUAACUACGUG
Molecule: ribosomal RNA, 468 nt
Filed under: uncultured bacterium
Lineage: Bacteria
Description: partial 16S ribosomal RNA
Rfam family: Bacterial small subunit ribosomal RNA
Source: RNAcentral